UUUUUUAAUUGGAAACUUGUAUGAAAGGUUGAACGAAAUAUAAACUGUUUUAAAAAAAUAUUAGAAUUUUACUUUUUAGUUAAAAGGCUAAAAUAAAAUUAAAAGACGAGAAGACCCUAUAGAGUUUUAUAAAUUUAAUAUUUAAUUAAUAAAGAAAAAUUAUUUUUAAUUAUAAAGAUUUAUUUAGUUGGGGUGACAAUAAAAUUUAUAAAACUUUUAUUAUUAAUUACAUUAAUAAAUGAGAAAUUGAUCCAGUAUUAUUGAUUAAAAUUUAAAUUACCUUAGGGAUAACAGCGUAAUCUUUUUUUAGAGUUCUUAUCAAUAAAAAUUUUUGC
RNAcentral lists this ribosomal RNA (335 nucleotides) under Diadocidia fissa. RNAcentral describes it as "partial 16S ribosomal RNA". Lineage: Eukaryota; Metazoa; Arthropoda; Insecta; Diptera; Diadocidiidae. The record is from RNAcentral.